RNAcentral lists this unclassified non-coding RNA (300 nucleotides) under uncultured fungus. RNAcentral's name for it is "sequence contains 5.8S rRNA gene, ITS2". The stretch from base 1 to 71 matches the Rfam family "5.8S ribosomal RNA", at positions 84 to 154 of the family's 154-position model. Lineage: Eukaryota; Fungi. The record is from RNAcentral.
GUGAAUCAUCGAAUCUUUGAACGCAUAUUGCGCCCGCGUCUUCGGACAAGGGCAUGCCUGCCUCAGCGUCGGGUUAAUCCUCGCAAUACAAACUCUGUGUUUGUCUAUUGCGGACCUGGUCGUCCCGAUCAAUUCAGUUUGGUCGGGUCGGCUGAAGAACAGAGGUUAACGCAUGGACCCGAUAUGGGCCUCAACUGGGUAGGCAAUUCGUUGCUACAUGCUUUAGUUGAAGGCUUGUGGACCGUGCUUGUUGGCCCAAACCAGGAAUCAAGCCUUUGGCUUGAAACACAACCCAUUUUC